Non-coding RNA from Streptomyces swartbergensis, 142 nucleotides. The record is from Rfam. Lineage: Bacteria; Bacillati; Actinomycetota; Actinomycetes; Kitasatosporales; Streptomycetaceae.
GGCUGUUCCCGGCCGUGGUGGACUGCCGGGGCCAGUAACGGCGGCAGGAGAGGAAGCCGGUGGAAGUCCGGCGCGGUCCCGCCACUGUCACCGGGGUAGCGAUCCCCGGGAGCCAGGAACUCUCACCGCCGGUCUAGUCGAA